RNAcentral lists this long non-coding RNA (222 nucleotides) under Gallus gallus (chicken). Lineage: Eukaryota; Metazoa; Chordata; Aves; Galliformes; Phasianidae. The record is from RNAcentral.
CAGUUUUUCAGCUAAUGCUGAUCCUCUGGCCCUACUCCUUAGAAAUAAGUGGACAAGGUUGUCCCUAUAAUUUACAAAUACAUUUUUCAGACCAGUGAUGAACUGUCUUAAAGAAGAAAUCAAGCUGAAAAAUACUUGCGCAAGACUAAAAACAGAUGAUUUUUGAUCACAAGACUAGUAUGGUACAGCUCUACGUUCCCACCCAUUCAAGUCAAAGAUGAC